Molecule: ribosomal RNA, 445 nt
Filed under: uncultured bacterium
Lineage: Bacteria
Description: partial 16S ribosomal RNA
Rfam family: Bacterial small subunit ribosomal RNA
Source: RNAcentral
GUGAGGAAUAUUGCGCAAUGGAGGCAACUCUGACGCAGCCAUGCCGCGUGCAGGAAGAAGGCGCUACGCGUUGUAAACUGCUUUUAACCGGGAAGAAACCCCAGGACGUGUCCUGGGUUGACGGUACCGGAGGAAUAAGCACCGGCUAACUUCGUGCCAGCAGCCGCGGUAAUACGAAGGGUGCAAGCGUUAUCCGGAUUCAUUGGGUUUAAAGGGUGCGUAGGCGGAGAGUUAAGUCAGUGGUGAAAUCCUGCAGCUUAACUGUAGACUUGCCAUUGAUACUGGCGCUCUUGAGUGCGCUUGAAGUGGGCGGAAUGUGCCGUGUAGCGGUGAAAUGCUUAGAUAUGGCACAGAACACCAAUUGCGAAGGCAGCUCACUAAGGCGAUACUGACGCUGAGGCACGAAAGCGUGGGGAUCGAACAGGAUUAGAUACCCCGGUAGUCC